UAACCAACAAGAUUUCUUUUUAGCAAUUAUUAACCUUUUUUAUUAACAACUUCACUGAGUUAUAAUUCUCAUAAUAUGCUACACAAUUCACCCAUUUAAGGUGAGAGAUGCAAUGGUUUUUAGCAUACUCACAGAUGUAGGCAACCACCACCUCUGCAACUUUAGGACAAUGUUAUCACCACAAAAGGAAAUCCUGUAUCAUUUAGCACCUCCUCACCCCUAAUUCCCUUAAUCCUAAAUGACUGUUAUCUAUUUCAGUGAUCUACUUAUGUUUCUAUAGAUUUGCAUCUUCUGGAUAUUUCAUAUAAAUGGAGUCAUAUAGCCUGCUGUUUGUUGUAUCCGGCUUCUUUCCCUUAUGAAAUUAUGAAAAUAUAAUAUUUUAAGAUUCACCAUGUGGUGGCUUAUAUCAGAGUUUCAGUCAUUCCUUUUAAAUUAGAAUAAUAUUUCAUUGUAUAGUGUUAACUCCUUUUAUUUUUCUGUUCAUCAGUUCAUAACCAUUUAGGUUGUUUCCAUCUUUUAGUUAUUUUGAAUAAUGCUUUUGAAAACAUUCAGGCACAGGUUUAAGUUUGAGCACCUGUUUGUAAUUCUUUUGGGUGGAUACCUAAGAGUGGAAUUGCAGAGUCAUAAGAAGAAUAGUCAAACUGAUUUCCACAUCUCUUAACUCUUACUCCAAAAACGUAAUUUUAGAAAAUUGGAUAACAUUUCACACUCCAAAAUAAGGCAUCCCUGCUCAGUUUGAUUAAGUACACUGCUCAAGUCUCAAAGGCAUGUAAUACAGACAUGCAUUCAUUUGGAAUUAUUAUGCAUUUAUGCCAUCUUCUCAUCUGUUUUCUUUGUUAAAGGGUUUAUAGGGUGACCUUAACCAAAACAUUGUCUAGAAGCUUGUAUCUAAGGACAAAUAUAUUCUGUGUUAAAAUUAGUGUUUUAGGAGUUCCUGCUACAUUACAGUGGGUUAAUAAUCCAGCUUGUCUCUGUGGAGGCACCAGUUUGAUUCUCAGCCCAGGACAGUGGGGCAGUGGGUUAAGGAUCUGGCAUUGCUGCAGUCGUGGCAUAGGUCACAGCUCUGGCUUGGAUUCAAACCCUAGCCUGGGAACUUCCACAUGCCAUGGGGGCAGCUGAAAAAGAAAAAAAUAGACAGAUAAAAUAAAAUUAGUGUCCUAGGAAAACGCAUCUUUCUGGUUGCCCACAGCACCUGGAUCCCCUGAUGAGGAAGGCUUACCCUCCCUGUCUCAUCCAGUAGCUUCAAAGGGCAUUUAACAUACAACAAGGGACUCUACCAAUCCUGGAACUGCAAGGCUAAGUAGAAGGGACACUUCUCGAUUUUUUUUUCCUCAGUCUAAUAGGCUCCAGCUACCCAUCAAGCAAGUAUGUGGAAGUUUGUGCACACACAUCAGAUUCUGGAGGGAUUUCCAUUUCUCUUUCCUCCCCCUCUUGCAUGGAUCACAAAUCUUGCACAUAUCUAAGACUUCAUCAGGCCAAGUGUUCAAUAGUCAAAGAGCAUCUUGACUCAAGCUGAAUUCCUUGGCUUGAGAUUAUUCUAAUGGGGAAAUUGGCCAAGCACAAAUGACCAAGUAAGGUCUCCAGCCAAAGCAACUCACAGCAGUGCAGGCCUUGAGACAUCACAGGAGUGACAAAGGAGCUCAAGGCCAAGGACAGAAGUAUAGUGAAAUCGUAAAUAAAGGAGUUCCCGUCGUGACCCAGUGAUUAAUGAAUCCUUGGCCUUGCUCAGUGGGUUAGGGAUCUGGCAUUGCCAUGGGCUCUGGGGUAGGUUGCAGAUGCAGCUCAGAUCCCAUGUUGCUGUGGCUGUGGCAUAGGCCGGUGGCUAUAGCUCCAAUUGGACCCCUAGCCUGGGAACCUCCAUGUGCGGCAAAUGUGGCCCUAGAAAAGACCAAAAAAAAAAACCACCCUACCAUGAGACACCUCCGACUUUCUCUUGACUACAUGACCUCCAGAGUCCAGCUGCAGGAGAAAGAUAAACUAACCUUCCCCCGCUUUAGGGAAUCACUUUCCCAUCUGUCGGGUAUAAGAAGGCCCCACCAGAAGGGUGGGGGACUGGCUUUUUCCAAGGGUCAGUCACCCUCUCCUUUUCCUUCUAAAUUUUCUUCUCUUUGCCUGAACACCCAGCUUGUUUUCUUUUUUCCACAUUUGCCUUACAGCUAUAAAUACUAGGGUGUCUGUGGUAGGCAGCAUUCUAUGGUUGUUCCCCUAAAUCCCUAUCCUCGGGCUUACAUGCCUUGUAUAAUUUUCUCCUGGAGUACAGUCAGAAUCUGUGACUAUGAUGAGAUAUCAAUCUUAUGAUUGGCAAAGGUGAAGGGCUUUUACAAGUACAAUUAAAGUCCCUAAUCAGUUGGUUUUGAGUUAAUUAAAAGGGAAAUUACCAUGAGUGAGCCAGACCUAAUCAAGUGAAGCCUUGAGGCUAGCCUUGAAGAAGUAAGCUGCUUUGUUGUGGAAGGCCAAUGGAAGAAGCCAUUGAGGGAUGGAAAGCCACCUCUAGGAGCUGAAAGUGACCUCUGACCAAUAGCUUGGAAGAGAAUGGGAAUCUUAGUUAUACAGCUGUAAGAAUGAAUUCUACCAACGACCUGGGGGAGCUUGGAAAUAUAUUUUCUGACUUGAACCUCCAGCUGAGGAUGCAGCCAUCAAGACCUUUAUUUCAGCCAUGUGAGGCACUGAGCAAGGAAACAAACUAAAAUGUGCCAGAUCCCUGACCCACUGGAACUGUGAGAUAAUAAAUUAAUAUUGUGAUAAGCUGCUCAAUUUGUGGCAAUUUUUUAGGUGGCAAUAGAAAACUAAUACCGUGCCAAAGGCCACAGUGUGUGUGUGCAUGCACACUGUGUGACUUCAGAAAACAUGGUGGCUUUGAAACAUUGGCAGGCAUACUUUGCAGUUUCCCCACUAGAAUAAUCUCUCCAUAUUUACUUGCUAUUUUCCCAUAUGUCUUUUGUGCAGUUAUCCUUGACUUGAGUUUUAUGUCUAAAUUGCUCUUUUCCUGCUUAUUUUAUAUGCACACCUUCGAUAGUUAAAUUUAAUAAAUGUUUUUUGUUCGCAUCGUGAUGAUGAUGCAAAGAUCUACACAAAGGAUUUGCACGUUAAUGUCUUUGGUACUCAUAAGUGGAGUUCUAAAACCCUAAACACUUACAAACACUUUUCUGUUCUGAAUCCCAAGUUGCACUUACAAGCAGAAUAAGGAAGAGAAGAAAUUAGAGACCUGCUACAGUGAGAUUUAAAGUUCCUAGGGGAGAGGUAAACCUAACAGAAAACCGGCAGUGUGUGUGUGUAAUCACACAGACCAUUGAGAUGUGGGUGUUACUGUUUAGUUAGCCCCGGAAUUAUAUAGAGGCCUUAAGCAAUUUUGUUUUGGUGAUUUCAGAGCACAGAGUUGUCUAUAUCUGUAUCAUGGGAUGUGGUUUGAAUAAAAAUACACUGCAAGAGCGACUCGAAACUCUCCAUUGCAUGGCAGUGCAAGCACCAAAGUCUCCCAUUUCAUACAAAGACAGAUGGACAACAAGUGUCCUUCUGUUCUUUGUACAGAGCUCAAAAUGAAUGGGAUUUAUCAGGAGUUUACUCUAAUCCCUCUUCUUAAGGGCCUCUGGCUGUUAGUUUUGGCUGGCAAGAGAAGGGAACCAGAUGCUUAAAUGCCCAAAGGCAGAGUUCCUAGGUUAAAAAAAGUUUUUAAAUGAGUUCUUGUAUUUGCCUAUGGCCUUCUAAGCAUAAACAUUUCUAAUUGAUAUCAGUGGACUUGGAUUAUGAAUUAAUCUAAACAGUCAGCUCUUGCUUCUCCAAACAAAACCAGAAAGUGUCAACUAAAUCUUUAGUAAUAGGUGUAUCUGCGCUUGUUAUCCUGGAGAAUAAAGCCAGUAUCAAAAUUUCUAAAUAACACUGAUAAAAAUGUGUUCACGAAGUAGACUAUUUUCAUUUUUAAAUUCUUAUAAAAUGCACUCCCUCCUGGCAUAGACCAUCCUGCAUGAACAUACUUGCAAAGCCUCCAGCUGUUCCUCUUCAUUUUCCCCCCAUCAAUUCCAACUAUCAUCUUAAAAAGGCACAAUAGGAUUUUCCCAAAUAAUCACCAACACAUGAUGAAAUUACUUCUCCUGAUCUAAGAACUCCAGCAAAGAAUUUGUAGGAGAUUACGAUCUCAUUUUCAAAUAGUGCCCUAUUCAGAUGUAACUACAACCACCCUACAGUUAGAGAAAUAAUUUCUUGUUGCUACACUUCAGGAGGUCUCCUGUUAUCUUAACAACUGUCAUGAAAUUCUAAAAGAUAAAUUAAUUUACAUUUGCUCU
Molecule: long non-coding RNA, 4280 nt
Filed under: Sus scrofa (pig)
Lineage: Eukaryota; Metazoa; Chordata; Mammalia; Artiodactyla; Suidae
Description: lncRNA (ENSSSCG00060062475.1)
Source: RNAcentral